This 251-nucleotide ribosomal RNA is filed under the name uncultured prokaryote. Its description in RNAcentral is "partial 16S ribosomal RNA". It matches the Rfam family "Bacterial small subunit ribosomal RNA", at positions 524 to 774 of the family's 1533-position model. The record is from RNAcentral.
UACGGAGUAUGCAAGCGUUAUCCGGAUUCAUUGGGUUUAAAGGGUGCGUAGGCGGACUAUUAAGUCAGUGGUGAAAGCCUGCAGCUUAACUGCAGAACUGCCAUUGAUACUGAUAGUCUUGAGUUUGGUUAAGGUAGGCGGAAUGUGUAAUGUAGCGGUGAAAUGCUUAGAUAUUACACAGAACACCGAUUGCGAAGGCAGCUUGCUGGGUCAUUACUGACGCUGAUGCACGAAAGCGUGGGGAUCAAACA